UGAGUGCUUGAUUAUUUGGUCAUGGUCAAUGGCUUGUGUACUUUAAUUUCUUUACUCCUAUUAGGUAUCUGAAAUUAAUUUGUCCUUUAGUACGUAAUACCAUCUUUAAAAAAAUACAUUACUAACUUAUACUGAUAUAUAUAUUGAUCAUCUUCAGGGGCGGACCCACGUUGACUUUAGGGGGUUCAGUUGAACCCCCUGAAAAAAAAAAAUUUCCUACUUACCCCCUAGAGUGAUUUUUUCUGAACCCCCUGAAAUUUGAAAAUUGCACCCAGGUCCCAGUCAAGGAGUCAAUACUCAGUUACUCAUUCCUCACUCCUCUCUCUCUCUCUCUCUUCCUCACGCACUCACUCCUCUCUCUCUCUUCCUCACGCACUCACUCUCUCAUCUCACGGUCUCAACUCUCCUUCACUCACGAAUCACGGCAGCCACAGCCCACCAACGCCACCAGUCCACCACCAUCGCCCACCGGCAGCCGCCCAAAGCACCACCACUCUCUCUCUCUGCUGCUGUUGAAGACUUGAAGCUUGAAGGAUACUGUGCUCAUUGGGUGCGUUUUUUUUGGGCCAUUAUUGCAGUGCCUAUGACAGUUUUGGGGCUUUGACACAAUGAUAAUACAAUGGCUUUUACAAUGAUUCUGAGCUUAUUGUUCAACGAUUUCAGAAUAUGAAAUCGCGUAGAGGACAACUAUGAUUUGUAUAAUUUCUGAUGUAUAAAUAUAUUAUAAUUGUUUUUAA
Molecule: long non-coding RNA, 737 nt
Organism: Lotus japonicus
Lineage: Eukaryota; Viridiplantae; Streptophyta; Magnoliopsida; Fabales; Fabaceae
Exons: 2
Source: RefSeq, a predicted model, not a curated record